RNAcentral lists this ribosomal RNA (319 nucleotides) under Oxypiloidea camerunensis. RNAcentral's name for it is "partial 12S ribosomal RNA". Lineage: Eukaryota; Metazoa; Arthropoda; Insecta; Mantodea; Hymenopodidae. The record is from RNAcentral.
UAAAAUGUAAAACUAGAGUAUUAAUAGUUAUGAUCUUAAAACUUAAAGAAUUUGGCGGUAUUAUAGUCUAUUUAGAGGAAUCUGUUAUGUAAUUGAUAAUCCACGUUGAACCUUACUUAUAUUAAUUCUUGUAUACCGCUGUUUAAGAAUAUACUUUUAGGUAAUUUUCUUAAUAUAUGAUUAAUUAAAAUUUCAAGUCAAGGUGCAGUUAUAUAUAAGUUGAAUAAUGGAUUACAAUAAAAUGUAUUUAUUAUGGAUUAUUAUUGAAAUAUAAUUUGAAGGUGNAUUUANAGUAAUUUUUUAAAAAGUAUUACAAGGA